This 122-nucleotide non-coding RNA is filed under the name Corynebacterium lipophiloflavum. RNAcentral's name for it is "SAM-IV sequence". It matches the Rfam family "SAM (S-adenosyl methionine) riboswitch aptamer". Rfam says of the family: SAM-IV is a mRNA element that regulates gene expression via direct sensing of S-adenosylmethionine (SAM or AdoMet). SAM-IV riboswitches share conserved nucleotide positions with the previously described SAM-I riboswitches sequence analysis and molecular recognition experiments suggest that SAM-I and SAM-IV riboswitches share similar ligand binding sites, but have different scaffolds. The record is from RNAcentral. Lineage: Bacteria; Bacillati; Actinomycetota; Actinomycetes; Mycobacteriales; Corynebacteriaceae.
GAUCAAGAAGUUCGACGCUUUUUCGGGUCUCCCGGCCCGUCGACUAGCAACCGCGCAAUCGCGCACGGUGCUCCCGGGGGAAGAUCGGCCGGCGACGCGACCGCGCGCCGGAAGUGCGAUAU